ACCGGAUAUUGGACCAUGUAGGGAGGAGAUCAAGUGCAGACCCUCCUGGACCAAAAGGCCUACUUGCCAGGAAGGCUGGGCGUCAGACAAUUCUGGUAUCUGCAACAGUUCCAUUUUCGGUCAUAAGGGCAGCUCGGAGUUGGGGAUCUGAUCCGCUUCUUGUUCAGGCAAAAAAAGUUAUUCCACUUGAAUCCCUACCUGCAUCUGGACCGGUUAAUCUGUCAAGGCCUAAAUCCAGUUCAAGCUCAAACCAGAAUUUGCAGCCUCAGG
This 270-nucleotide unclassified non-coding RNA is filed under the name Hevea brasiliensis (rubber tree). Lineage: Eukaryota; Viridiplantae; Streptophyta; Magnoliopsida; Malpighiales; Euphorbiaceae. The record is from RNAcentral.